UUCUCGUAGUUGGAUUACGAAGUGGUGUUUAAAUGUCAUUUUGGUUUGUUUGUCUUUCGGGGCAUUCAGGUCAACUUGGCUUUUACUCACUGUUGUCAUUGUCUUUGCCCAAGGUAUAUGCCUUGUGUGCAUGGCAUUGACCUUCUAUUUUAUGGUAAUGUUGUAUCUUUCGGGGUACAUUCAUUCCAUAUAGUUUACUUUGAAAAGAUUAGGGUGUUUAAAGCAGGCGAAAAGGCUUCGGAAUAUAUUAGCAUGGGAUAAUAGAAUACGAUCUAGGUCGUAAUUUGUUGGUUUCUACGGCUUAGGUAAUGAUUGACAGGGAUAGUUGGGGUCGCUCGUAUUGAGUUGUCAGAGGUGAAAUUCUAGGAUUAACUCAAGACGAACUAAUGCGAAAGCAUUCGGCAAGGAUGUUUUCAUUAAUCAAGAACGAAAGUUGGGGGAUCGAAGAUGAUCAGAUACCGUCGUAGUCUCAACUGUAAACUAUGUCGACCGAGGAUCCGGUAGCGUUACAUGGAUGACCUUCCGGGCACUCUGUGAGAAAUCAUAAGUAUUUGGAUUUCGGGGGGAGUAUGGUCGCAAGGCUGAAACUUAAAGGGAUUGACGGAAGGGCACCACCAGGAGUGGAAUCUGCGGCUUAAUUUGACCCAACACGGGAAAACUUACCAGGUCCGGACACAGUGAGGAUUGACAGAUUGAGAGCUCUUUCUUGAUUUUGUGGGUGGUGGUGCAUGGCCGUUUUUAGUUGGUGGAGUGAUUUGUCUGGUUAAUUCCGUUAACGAACGAGACCUUAACCUAUUAAAUAGCUGCGCGAACCCAGGUUCUUUAACCAUUCUCUCCUUCGGGGGGGCGUGGUAUCAUUAUUUUGCUUUUCACUUUCGGGUGGGAGGUAGGGUAGUGAUAGGGCCUGAGAUGAGUUGGUGAUUUGGCUUCUUAGAGGGACUACUUGCAUCCUUAGCAAGGGGAGGUCUGAGGCAAAAACAGGUCUGUGAUGCCCUUCGAUGUUCUGGGCUGCACGCGCGUUACACUGGCGCAUGCAAAGAGUUUAAAAUUCCUGUCCCGAUGGGGUUGGGAAAUCUUUUUAAAGUGCGUCGUGAUGGGGAUAGAGCAUUGAAAUUAUUGCUCUUGAACGAGGAAUUCCUAGUAAUUGCAGGUCAUCAACCUCCAAUGAUUACGUCCCUGCCCUUUGUACACACCGCCCGUCGCUCCUACCGAUGGUUGAACCGAUGAGGACUCGGGAUGAUCUUAUUAGAUCGGUCGGUCGAAAGAUCGAUAGACUAUUAGGUCAGAACUUGUUCAAAUCUUUUUAACUAGAGGAAGGAGAAGUCGUAACAAGGUUUCCGUAGGUGAUCCUGCGGAAG
RNAcentral lists this ribosomal RNA (1358 nucleotides) under metagenome. RNAcentral's name for it is "bacterial SSU rRNA". It matches the Rfam family "Eukaryotic small subunit ribosomal RNA", at positions 625 to 1823 of the family's 1831-position model. The record is from RNAcentral.